ACGAACGCUGGCGGCAGGCCUAACACAUGCAAGUCGAGCGAACCUUCGGGUUAGCGGCGGACGGGUGAGUAACGCGUGGGAACGUACCCUCUUCUGCGGGAUAGCCACUGGAAACGGUGAGUAAUACCGCAUACGCCCUUUGGGGGAAAGAUUUAUCGGAGGAGGAUCGGCCCGCGUUGGAUUAGGUAGUUGGUGGGGUAAUGGCCUACCAAGCCUACGAUCCAUAGCUGGUUUUAGAGGAUGAUCAGCCACACUGGGACUGAGACACGGCCCAGACUCCUACGGGAGGCAGCAGUGGGGAAUCUUAGACAAUGGGCGCAAGCCUGAUCUAGCCAUGCCGCGUGAGUGACGAAGGCCUUAGGGUCGUAAAGCUCUUUCGCCAAAAAUGAUAAUGACAGUAUCUGGUAAAGAAACCCCGGCUAACUCCGUGCCAGCAGCCGCGGUAAUACGGAGGGGGUUAGCGUUGUUCGGAAUUACUGGGCGUAAAGCCCACGUAGGCGGAUUGGAAAGUUGGGGGUGAAAUCCCAGGGCUCAACCCUAGAGCGGCCUCCA
This 552-nucleotide ribosomal RNA is filed under the name Roseobacter sp. MS2. RNAcentral's name for it is "bacterial SSU rRNA". It matches the Rfam family "Bacterial small subunit ribosomal RNA", at positions 29 to 629 of the family's 1533-position model. The record is from RNAcentral. Lineage: Bacteria; Pseudomonadati; Pseudomonadota; Alphaproteobacteria; Rhodobacterales; Roseobacteraceae.